Molecule: ribosomal RNA, 1554 nt
Filed under: Escherichia coli
Lineage: Bacteria; Pseudomonadati; Pseudomonadota; Gammaproteobacteria; Enterobacterales; Enterobacteriaceae
Description: bacterial SSU rRNA
Rfam family: Bacterial small subunit ribosomal RNA
Source: RNAcentral
AAAUUGAAGAGUUUGAUCAUGGCUCAGAUUGAACGCUGGCGGCAGGCCUAACACAUGCAAGUCGAACGGUAACAGGAAUCAGCUUGCUGAUUCGCUGACGAGUGGCGGACGGGUGAGUAAUGUCUGGGAAACUGCCUGAUGGAGGGGGAUAACUACUGGAAACGGUAGCUAAUACCGCAUAACGUCGCAAGACCAAAGAGGGGGACCUUCGGGCCUCUUGCCAUCGGAUGUGCCCAGAUGGGAUUAGCUAGUAGGUGGGGUAACGGCUCACCUAGGCGACGAUCCCUAGCUGGUCUGAGAGGAUGACCAGCCACACUGGAACUGAGACACGGUCCAGACUCCUACGGGAGGCAGCAGUGGGGAAUAUUGCACAAUGGGCGCAAGCCUGAUGCAGCCAUGCCGCGUGUAUGAAGAAGGCCUUCGGGUUGUAAAGUACUUUCAGCGAGGAGGAAGGCGUUGUGGUUAAUAACCACAGCGAUUGACGUUACUCGCAGAAGAAGCACCGGCUAACUCCGUGCCAGCAGCCGCGGUAAUACGGAGGGUGCAAGCGUUAAUCGGAAUUACUGGGCGUAAAGCGCACGCAGGCGGUUUGUUAAGUCAGAUGUGAAAUCCCCGGGCUCAACCUGGGAACUGCAUCUGAUACUGGCAAGCUUGAGUCUCGUAGAGGGGGGUAGAAUUCCAGGUGUAGCGGUGAAAUGCGUAGAGAUCUGGAGGAAUACCGGUGGCGAAGGCGGCCCCCUGGACGAAGACUGACGCUCAGGUGCGAAAGCGUGGGGAGCAAACAGGAUUAGAUACCCUGGUAGUCCACGCCGUAAACGAUGUCGACUUGGAGGUUGUGCCCUUGAGGCGUGGCUUCCGGAGCUAACGCGUUAAGUCGACCGCCUGGGGAGUACGGCCGCAAGGUUAAAACUCAAAUGAAUUGACGGGGGCCCGCACAAGCGGUGGAGCAUGUGGUUUAAUUCGAUGCAACGCGAAGAACCUUACCUGGUCUUGACAUCCACAGAACUUUCCAGAGAUGGAUUGGUGCCUUCGGGAACUGUGAGACAGGUGCUGCAUGGCUGUCGUCAGCUCGUGUUGUGAAAUGUUGGGUUAAGUCCCGCAACGAGCGCAACCCUUAUCCUUUGUUGCCAGCGGUCCGGCCGGGAACUCAAAGGAGACUGCCAGUGAUAAACUGGAGGAAGGUGGGGAUGACGUCAAGUCAUCAUGGCCCUUACGACCAGGGCUACACACGUGCUACAAUGGCGCAUACAAAGAGAAGCGACCUCGCGAGAGCAAGCGGACCUCAUAAAGUGCGUCGUAGUCCGGAUUGGAGUCUGCAACUCGACUCCAUGAAGUCGGAAUCGCUAGUAAUCGUGGAUCAGAAUGCCACGGUGAAUACGUUCCCGGGCCUUGUACACACCGCCCGUCACACCAUGGGAGUGGGUUGCAAAAGAAGUAGGUAGCUUAACCUUCGGGAGGGCGCUUACCACUUUGUGAUUCAUGACUGGGGUGAAGUCGUAACAAGGUAACCGUAGGGGAACCUGCGGUUGGAUCACCUCCUUACCUUAAAGAAGC